This 167-nucleotide ribosomal RNA is filed under the name uncultured bacterium. RNAcentral describes it as "partial 16S ribosomal RNA". It matches the Rfam family "Bacterial small subunit ribosomal RNA", at positions 1334 to 1500 of the family's 1533-position model. The record is from RNAcentral.
GCUAGUAAUGGCAGGUCAGAAUACUGCCGUGAAUACGUUCCCGGGCCUUGUACACACCGCCCGUCACACCAUGAGAGUUGGGAAUACCCGAAGCCUGUGAGCUAACCGCAAGGGAGCAGCAGUCGAAGGUAGAAUCAAUGAUUGGGGUGAAGUCGUAACAAGGUACC